GUGACUUCCCUUAGGUGAGUUUACGUGCAUUUUCUACUGGGGUGGGGAGUCACAAAGCCCUCUCUGCAAAUGAGAGCUAAGUUCACGACAUGUUUCAUGAGCUCCUCAACCUCCUUGGCCCUGAUCAACAACUAGUUUUCCUGAAGGGCCAGUUUAAAAGCAAAGUUAGCAGUGCAAAGCCAGCAUAAGCAGCAGUUGCCAUGCUACCAAUUCAGACACCAGUUUUAGAAGCCUGUGGCCUGGAUAAAAUAAGGGGGAAAGUCUGAAUCUAGUUUCCAUGGCAUUUUUUUAGAUAAGGUUUAUAUUCCAUCACUUAGCCAGAAGCCAAAUAAUUGCUAGUUUCUCCAUAACACAGGUCCUGGCUUUUUCAACUCAAGUAUUGUAGGAGUUCGUUUCAUAGUGCAGCAGAAUAUAUACAGCACAAGGCAGGGAGCAGGAUUUCAGCUCUCCUGAUACAAACUAAUAGGCUUUAUGCAGUAUUCACUUCCUAUCUAGUGUUUAGUUUUACUAAUAAUGCUGAUCUAACCAUCAGCUCCUAACUCUUCUUAUGAUGCAAAAGCCACUAGGGUUUAUUUUAUGCUAAAUGAUUAACAACAGGAUUCAUGGAUAGAUACACUGUGCCAAAUACCUCAAGGAUCGUAUCUGAAAUCACUCAAGGUCCUACUUAGUCCCAUGUGAUUCUUAGCAUUUAUUUAAUAGCAUUUUUAUCCUGCUCCUUAGCUUAAAGGGGGCUUCCAGGGCAACUUACAAAAAUCAGUACUUAGACAGUCCAUGCCCCCAGGCUUGCAACUGGAAGAGAUGUAACACACAAGGAACAGGGGGUGGGGUGGAAGAGGAAAGUAGGCAAACUCAAGCACCAGUUCUUAAAGUUACAGUUCUUUUAUAGCUACCAGCUAGGAUGGGAAAGAGUUCCAGCAGCCUGAUUGAGUGAUGGCUAAAGGAUGCCCAGAGGCAGCUGGUCUCCCAGGAGAGGUGAUGGGAUAGUCUUGUUUUGCUUCACUCCCUCUGCCCUGCAGCCUAAUGGAGCUGCUGUCACUUGGAGACGCUUGAGUGAGACUUCCCAUAUUUUCAGUAUUUCCACUGCAAUCUUGAGGUCUAGAAAUUGUGCUUUCUAAAAGUAAGAAUGAACAUUCUUAGGACUCUAGAUUAUGUGCCACGUCCUGCACUUGCUGAGUCAUUGUACAGAAUGUAUAUAAUUUUAGUCCCCCUGCCCAAUUUUUGCCAGAAUGAGCCUCCUAAAGUCAAAGCUCAUUUGUUUUCCUUGUGUAACUAUUAUGGAAUCUUGCAACAAAAUGUUGCAGUGUGGAGUGCUCAUUCCCUCUCCCUUAGUUUUCAAUUCUUCUCUCCCACAACGGUCAGCAUUUGGUGCCCACUGAGCAUCCUCAUUCCUCAGUGGACAUUUUCCCUCUCUUAAAAUAUUUUUUUGUACUUCAAACAUUGGGGUUCCCUCCAUCGUAUGGGUGGAUCCCUCUAUCUGUUGCUUGAAUUGUGGCAUUUUGGCUACAUAAGAAUCCACACUAGGAGAAUGGGUUUAUUAUCUGCAUCUAGGAUGUCAUUAAUGUAUAGUCAGCCUGCAGUGAAGGUACAAGUGGCACAAGCAGCAGGUAUGCUCUGACAUGCUUGGCAAACAAGACAAAAUGCCUUUGGGCCUAGCUGUGGCUGAAUCAGGCUUGCAGGUUGUCCUGCCUCAUCAGUACUGCCUGCUCCUUGGCUCAGCAGCUGAGAGCCAAAAGCAAACAUAAGGAACCAGUGACUGCAGGAAGACUGGAGAGAGACAGACAGAGACAGAGAAUGGACUAGAAUGGUGCUUCCUCUCUCAAACUUUGCAUUUGAGUUUGUUGCACAAUUGCCAAAAAGAUUGGCCAGCACCGUAGUAAUUAAUUACAAGUAGUGACGAAAUUAAGUGCAGAACUUAAUGGAAGAUUUUGCAGCUCUUUUCUUUGAGCCAAAAGAACUAAAUGACAAAUUGCUUGGCAUAAGGUAGGACUGUGUAAUAUACAAAAGCGACAUUCCUGGCUUUCUGUUUCUUCAUUGCAGACACUGUUCUUCUCACCCAACCCAAGUUUACACACACACAUGUAUACACACACACACACACACACACACACCUUCUUCUAGCAGCUGCCUCAUAUUGUGUUGUUUCAGCUGGGUUUUCAUGGCGAACAAAACAACAGGGAGUAAGUGGUGGUGUUCUCAAAUGUUGUACUGCACAACAAAUUUAACAGGGGUUUUUCUGGGGUUAGUGUUAAUUGUCUCUGCCAUUAUUGCAAACAGACUUUGAUCUAGUCUCCUGACCUUUUCGAGGUCUCUCUGUCUCUUCUUUCAAGCAGAAUGUAUUUUACUGGUGUGGCCAAGGGAGUCUUCUAGGAGCUUGCCCAUUUGCUGCUAAAAUCUCUCCCCUCCCCAAUCUGAACAGGGGACGGAAAAAGUAGCAAGGAGAAGUGGUUUGGUAUAGACAAGCAUUUAUUCUCCAGUUGUAUCUUCCUCAGUGACCUUAUGCACAAGCAGGGGAAGGUGGGGGAGCCUUAUGAGCAGUACAGAGCACUGUAUGAUCUUAUCACAAGGAUGGGUGGGUUUUCAUCCAAGGCAAACAGGGUGCUCUGUUGGGGAAAGGCUCUUGUGCUUUUGAAUUGAAGUUGUGCUGCUGUCACACUGUGCUGAUCUGAGCAAAAAAUGCAGCUUGAAUGAUGAGACUGGAGUUGCCCAUGGUGCUGAAACUGCCUUAAUUGUCACAAUUUCAAGGAAGGGGAGCCCCUAGCCAUGAACUGGCGGAUCUUGCCACAGACCAAGCCUGUUGUGGCCUUCUAAACCCAGACCACAUUUAAUAUCUCCUGCCUUCAGCACAAGAAGCCCAGGGAGAGAAGGUGGAGGUCACACUUAACCACUUCUUUGCUGAGCUUGUUUCUGGUCCCAUCAGUCACAGUGCUUGCUGUUUGGAAUGCCUUUAGGUGAUCAGCUCGGUAAAUAGUAUGGCAGGCGUCUUUCAUCCUAAGACACCUAGAUGACAUGAAGAAAACCACCCUUCUGCCCCUGCCUACUUACAUACCACUACAGAUGGUUAGUCCUCAACCAAGGGAGACUUUUGUUUGUUGGGUAUAAGACUGGGCUAAGUGUUCUACUCACUUCAGAGUCAAAUGGGUCUAGCUAGCCAAAUGACUUCAGAAGAUCACAGCCAUGUUUACCUAUUAGCAGGGUCCAGGGCCAAGGCAGUCACCUCUGUUAGAAUCUAAAUUUCUCUUUGAGAGAUAGGAAAGAAGCCAGGAAAAGGACUAUUUUGUUUCCAAAUCAGGCCAGAACCGACCAAAUUUGCAUUACCAAACAGAAAGGUUACUGGCUUUGCCAUCAAAGGAGGAGUCUCCAGGAUCUUGGGUUUUAGACCAGAAGCCUCUUCUAACCCCCAAAACCGAUUUGGAAGAAAAUGGCUUCUUUUCCUCUCCCUCCCUCCAAUGAGGGAUGAGAGGCAAUGGGAGAGAAGCAGUAAGAGUGAUAGCUUGGCUACUCUCAAUCCACCAGCUUCUGCCUAACAUGAGGAGGUAGCUGAGCAGUAAGUGGCAUUCAAUCCCAGCUUCCUGCUCCCAUUGCCUUUGCUGGGGCAAGCACCCUCCUCCACCCUCUGGCAAGGGAUUUGCCCACCCCUCCUCAUCUUAAAGGGAAUAGCAUCUCCCCCUUGCUCACAGUGGUGAGCACCCAGUUUCCUGCAUCUGCAGAGCAUCUGCAGAGCUAAGCAGCCCCACUUCAUUUCCUCUCUGCAGUUGGGCAGUGGAUAUGGAAAGGCUCCCCCUCACACUUGGAUGUUCAUCCCUACCUUUAGCAUCUUGCAGGUCCCUUCCUUACAGGCUCCCUGUUUCACACCUCCCAUUUCUCUCUUGAUGUGGUUUGGACAUUCUCCCGUCCUAUUGCACAGGGUUAUAAAUAGACAUUCCACCACAACAGAGAUCAUGGAUUUAAAUCUACCUGGCCAUCUUCAGCACUUGGCAAAAAGUCAUUGGGAACCCCCAAUCCAGGAAACUCAGACUAGUUACUACUGAUCCAAGGAUUUCAGAUGCAUCCAGGUUUGGGUCCUCACCACAUUUGCUCUGGACAUUCAGAUGAAAAAAAAUUACCAUGUGCACAAGGCUCUGGGUCCCAUUGUGAUCCCUAGCAGGCAUUCCAAAAGAACCUUCCUACCCAACCUUUUUGCAGAUGGCACCAAGCACAACCCAGCCAUUCAGCCUUUAUCAAUAUCAGGAGUGUGCUAUCACAUUAUGUAAAGCUUGAGAAAGAUACCAUUGUCAGCCGCAUGGCAGCUGUAAGUUAUGGGAAUUGUAUCCAGGGAUCAUGGCUUGGUGCAACUCCCACCCCCGCCCCCCGCCUUCCUUUUAAUGGCCAGCUUGCAGGGCAACUCGACCAUUCAAAUAUGUAUGUAUACAUUUUCUCAAGGAUAGAUCCAUGUUAACCGUACUGCAAGAGAUUCCAGCCAAUUGGCCUGUGCAGAUCUAAGGUGCUUGUUUCUCUUUGUAUAACUAUAUACAUAUGUACAUACAUAUCCUGUUUAAUGUAAUUGAAACCUUGGAGCUGUCCGUUUGCUCUGGAACCCAGCAGGUGGUGUGAUGGGCUUGGAUGAUGGGAGAAGGUGAAUGCUGGCUGGUUUAAGGCAAGCAAUUCUACUGAAAAUUUCAAUUGCAUGGGAAUAGUCCUGUAUAAACAAGCUGUCACCGUCAAUUGCAUAGGUGCUAUGUAUGUCCUCAGAUUAUAUAAAUUAGUUUUUAAUUCAGGUUUAAAUUUUAUGUAGAAAAGGCACAGAGCAGCCUAGAGAAAGAACAAUAGCCUCAGCUUGAUUAGUUCAGCCAUAUAGCAGACAAUGCAGCAUUCUUUAGCCUCUUUCUCAAACUUCUUUUCAGUGUUUAAAAAGUCCUUGGUGUGUCACUUCCCAAGCCUUCUUUAUUUGACUCAUCCAUACCAGGUCUUUGCAAACCUCUCCUUGCUGAAGUUCCCAUUACAAAUGUCCUUCUUGCCUUGGACUUGUGUUCUGCCAACAAUGACAGAGGAGACUUGAUCUCAAUCUCUCUCUGGAGUCCCUUUAGCAAGUUGCUAAUACUGAACUCUGCAUUAUGUAUAAUCCCAGUUUUUUCCAGGCACUUUAGUCAGAGCUAUUUCCUUUGCAUUAUUAAUGUCUAUAGUCAUACUAGAAAACUUAACUUGAAAGACAUUCACCUAAUGAACAGAAAAGGGGAGCAGGGAAAGGAGCCCCCAGAAGGAUAAAUGGGGGAUUUCUUGUAUUGCAGUACUAUUCAUAUGCAAUACUAAAUACACAGAAAUUCUGUAAGAGCUGCAGCUGAAAUAAUUCUCAAUUCAUGAACCUCUUUCAUUUUAGUACUUAAUUGCAGAGUUUACCUUUCCCCCUAAAUAGUGGUAAUUUGUUGCUGACCAGUUGUAGUAAGGAUCAGGACCUUGGCCUGUGGGUGUCUGCCUACAUGCUGCCACUUUCUCUGGAAAACAUGAAGGACCAUCAUAACCUGGCAUGCAUUGCAGUUGUAGCUGUUAACAAGAGUUUCCAAGCAGAACCCAGCUGCACUUUGUCAAGGACCACAGUAACUAGCAAAGAGUGGUUUCCAUUUCUUCCAUGCACUGAAGUGUCUAUUCCUGCAUGUCCCCUCUUUUAUACUCCUGCCCUCAUUGAGUUAACACAUCACUCUGGUCUAACCAAAGUUACAAAGAGACCUGCCAAUGUAAGUUCAUAAAUCAUUUAAGACCGAGCCACUAGCAAUCUGGCCCCCAAAUCUCAGCAAUUCAGAGGUACCUUUGCAACCUGAUUUUGUGCAUGCUUACUCAGAUGCAAGUCCCACUGAGUUAAAUGUGACUUACGCUGAAGUAAGUGUGCCAUAAAGAGCUAACAGAAUUUGCAUUAAGCCAGCCAGAGGUAGGACGACGUGCACAGCCUGGUCGGUUUCUCUGUCCUCUGUCCAGUCAGGAUCAGCCUUGUCUUCAUGUUUUGGUGCUCUCUCUCUCUCUCUCCCUCCUCCUUUCCCACGCUGUUCCUCUUCCUCCUUGCUGGGUUUUCUUGAAACUGCAAUUUUCUCGCUGAGCACCCAACCCCUCAAACACCCUGUUGUAUUGGGGCUAUUUUGCACAGUGAUGUACAAAAUGCCAGGCCUCGUGUCGGCUUUGGCACAAAAGUUCCUCAUUUGCCUUUUUUCUUUGGUUGUUUUGCUCUUGUAGGAUAAGAAUAUACUGUAAAUAACCUGUAACUGAAUGGCCUGAAUGAAUCUGGGGGACCAGCCAUGGGGGCUGGGCCCUGUGUCUGUGAAGCGUCAUGCUGGAGUUUUUUUUUCUUUUUUGUACUACGUGUGAGUAACUGUGCUGUGCUGACUCAUUUCUGAUUGUAUGAUGUACACCUCCCAGCAGUUGCAAUGGGCCAGUAGGACAGGGUGGGAACAAAAUGCCUUCUAAUAAUAGGAGUUGGCCUCCCUCAUCUCUCUUGCUGCUCGCUCUGCAUUUGCUCAAUACUUUUCACAAAGUUGCAGAGUCCAAUCAAGUAAGGCUGUCACAAUAAGAUUAGACAGCUCAGUGUUUUCUUCUUAGCCACUCUCUCUCUUUGUACUGGUGCUAUCGUAACAGUGUUUGCAGAGCAGAAGAGCACUGCCAAUCAGUUAUAGUUGAGCAGGGUGAAGUGGUAGGUCUUGAUCCCUAUAAGCAGGCUAGGAUAUUGAGUGGGAGGUCCUGCUGGAAUCAGGUUAAUUCACAAUGAAUUGGGGAUGGACACUAAAUAUCCAGGACUUUCCCACCCCCAUUUAGUUCUUGCUUUCUGCUUUUGUAUGUUUUGGCUUAUGCUCUGUGAAACCUUCAGAGACUGGGUGGUUUAGUUUAUCACAUUGAAUUGUUAAUAACACUAAGUACAUUGCAGGAUGUUGUUAGGUAGAGGAUAGGAACGCCACAACUUUGCACAUUUUAAGUAUAUGACGAUUUGAAAUAACCCUGUUGAGUUUGAACUUUUGUUUAAAAUGAAAAAAAUAACUUUGUACAUGCUUCAGAUGGCUAAAACAUGACCAGUCAUUGCUCCUAGUAGGGCAAGGCAGCCAUCUUAAAUUCACCUCUUAUCUGUCUCCUACCCUGCCUAUGAGCCAAAUCAUUAAUUAAACCUACACUUUUAUGUAUUGAGUUCAACCCAUUAUUAUAUUUUUCUUCCCAGAGGUAUCAGAUGUGUUACAGUGCAACUUGAUGCAUAUUUACUCAGAAGUAACUGCUGCUGCAUUUGGGCAUGGGAGAAGAGCUUGAGUCCCAGAAAGUACGUUUAGGAUUAAGGAUAAUCUUAUGAGCAGUUCCACAUGAGGCUGUAUCCUGGAAAAAUUUCCAAAUUAGGCAAAUUGUGACCUGGUCACAAUUCCUAAGACCAGUCUGUCAUUCCAAAAUGAAGUCAAAAACAUAAAUUUUUUGAACCAGAUCAUUUCUAUCCAAAAAGAGGUUUUAAGCCAGUUGUUUUGGAAGCAUUUUUGUAGCCAGAAAUCUUUGUUUCUCUUCAUGCUGAAAUGUCUUUUUGAUGGUUCUAGGCAAAAUGCACAUGACUCUGCAACACAUAUUCCAUUCACACAGCUCACAAAGUAUCUCCAAGCUUUGAGCAUCUCAUGACUUCCACCAUGAUGAACGCUGCUCUGUAAUGUGGAAGGCAGAAGGGUGGGCUUUCACUGGGGUAAAUAGGACCUUAUUUCCAUUAUUGCUAUUACAAAUGCAGACAGGCCCAUUGGUUGCAAGUCCCAGAGAGCAGAUUUUAAAAAUUUAUUAAAGUGCCUGCUUUUUUGAAAAGAUGCAGUUUUAGAAUAUUAACAGGCUGCCCCAAAAAUAUUGUUCAUCUUUAAGGUGCCACAAGCUUCUCUCCCCCGCCCCCCCAAAAAACAGACAAACAAGGCUACCCUUCUGGAAAUAGUUACAAAAACAUUGUAAACAAUAUUGUCAACCAAAAUCCUGCCAGAAAAGGUGUGUCUUACACUCUGUCAGAAACCUUUUCUUUCAGGAAUGAAAUUCAAAGAAUAAGAGGAGGGGAAACUGCUGUGAAGGCCUGACUUGUGACUCAUCGUCCAAAUCUCAUGCAGAGGUGGCCCAGACAGUAAUGUCUGCUGCAUAGAAAUCAGCACCCGCCCGGCUUAAACAGAGCGAGAGACUGCAUUCACAUUUAACUUUUAAAACCAGCACCUUGAAUUGGGUCUGGAAGCAAAUUGGCAAGCAGUGCAGCCUCCCAACACCCAUUAGGAGAUCUGCCACAGGAAUCCGCACCAAUUGAAGCUUCUGCGUCAUCUUCAAGGGCAACCCAACAUAGAGCGGCAUUGCUGUAAUAAACCAAGUUGCAGAAGCAUGGAUCAGCGCGGCAAGGUGUGACAUGUCCAGAAAAUGAAAAUGUUUAUUCUGAGCCAAAGAUGGGGGGGGGGGGAUAACUCUGACCUGCUUCUCAAGAAGCGGUUCUGGCUUCAGGAGUACCCUCCAGGCUUUUACCUGCUCAGAUAGGGUUAUAGAGAUCCUACAGCCAUUUUCCCUUCCCUGUCCACCUUGCCUCUGGCUUGUCAAUUGUAACCUGUUAUCCACUAUUCCCUUUACUGCACUUUCCAAACUCAAAAGUGUAGUGUUUGAGCAACAACAAGCCCAUAAAGGAGGGGGCCUUAUAAGACUCCUCUCUGCAAGUUUAUUAUGUGAUCUUUGUGAUCAUUGGCUUAUGGCUAAGGCUGCAACGGGUGCACAUACAUCACUUUCAGUUAGUGGAAUUUACUUCUGAGUAAAUGUCAUUGCAGUGCAAGUAUGUUUGUAGUAGAAAACACAAUAUGGCACAAACAGAACUCAAACAUUUAAGUGGAUAUCCAAAAUGGAGAGGAGAAUGGAACCAGGGAGGAGGUAGUGGUGGUGGUUAUAGGGAGAAAGAAUCAGCAUCAGCCUAUCAACUUAUCUCUGGUAAGUGUAUUAACAUGGUGGCAUAGGCCUUAGAUUCGUUCCUUAGUUGAGUGAGCUGGCCAACCAACAUACAAAAAAACAUGUGCCCUCUAAACACUACUUGCCCCACAAAAUGAAAACAAGCUGAGGAAUGAUUUUAUUCUGAUUAGAAAUUAUAACUGAGAGUGCUUCCAGCUGGGGAUUUGGCAUUGUGACCAAGUCAUACAUACAUUCCAAAUGGGUUGCUCACAACAGGUUAUUAUAACUUACUAGAUUUCCACUGGGAAGGGUAAAUCUGGAUUAAAGGGUGUGUGUGAAAUAAGGACAGAAAUAUAGAGGCUAGUGAGUCAUGGAUGCUGCAGAAAAUACCCAUGCAUGAGGAGCACCCAUCCCACAAUAAUCACCCAUCUGGAAGAACCCUGAAGCUAGCACUGUAAAUGACUGAAGGCAAGAACAAUUCCUUGGUAAAUCUGAAAAGAUUAAAAGGAAGCGUGCAGGAGCUGGAGCCCGUGGCUGUUGCCAAAAACCAGGGGUUGUCUCUAAUGGAUUUCAGCUGGUCAUAAACAUACGAAGUUGCCUUGGUCCAUCUGCCCUAGUGCAGUUUACUCUGACUGUCAGCAGAUUUCCAGGUUUCGCAUGGAGAUCUUUCUCUGUGCCCAGAAUGGAAGCUGACAUUCUGCUACCUGAGCUGUGGCACUUGUUCUCUGCUACAGGACCUUGUGGUUUCAAAUGCAAAGAAACCCAGCUUCCCGCAUUCUACCCGCCCCCCUUUGCAGUCUAGCAUCCAGAUAGAAGCAAGUCUUUUACUGGGCAAAAGCAGAGGAGACCCAGCAGCAGCUCUGAGAGUAAAUUGCACAAAGAACAAUGGGAUGGAUACCAAAAACCAAGGGUUGGAGUGGAUGUCCUGCAUGCUACUCAGCAGCAAAUGAAGAGGGAGAGGGAAGAGGCCAGACUUAAUGCUAUUCCAGCUUCAACCUUAUGUUGCAAAAAACGAAAUAAAAAUGGGGAAAUUGGGAAUUUCAUCCAUCUGAUCAUGAAACUCCAAAGGGCAAAGCUGGGUGGUCCCUAGUGGCUCCUUCCCAGGGGCGUUGGUGCUAAGAAGCUGGGGGUUUCAGUCCCAUGGAAAGCUAGAAGGAGGUUGCUGGAACACUGAUAAUUGCACUAAUUCAUCAAUCCAUCGGCAAACGUAGCAUCCCUUCCCCAUCGUCCCUGCCAAAGACGUGUCACCCUUCUGCUUUUGCCAAGUCUCGAAGGUCUUGGCUCGGGGUGAAGCUGGGAUAGCACCAAAGUCUAGGGUCUCCUUGGCUCAUAAGCUACUGCUGACUGGUGGCCCAAACCUUACAAUUUUAGCUUUUUUCUAAUUAAAAAUGCAUUUUUUAAAAAAAUUAAAAAGUGAAAGAAUUCCUGUUUUAGAAGAGCUGUGUACUUGACGGAUUCUGUGUUUCUUAAAUGCAUGGUGUUCCUUCCAGGGGGUUUUAUAGCACUUUUUAAAUUUCUCGGAAGAUUUUUUGGUCCCAGUUUCUAUGCUACCUUCUUUCUCUUUCUCUUUCUGUCUCUCGCCUUUUGUUUUGGUCUCUUUCUUUUGCGGAAACAGUUCUUUGUAAACCUGCAAUCUGUUUUAUACCUGAUGUAGACAAAAUUGAAAUCAAAAAUUCCAGAUGUUGUACAUAGCUGCGGAAACAAUCACGGGGAACAACUGCCAUCUGGACUGUUUCCAACAUAGACCAUUUGUACUUGUGGUUUUAAAAAAAGAAAAGAAGCCAGGAAAAGGCUUUAAAAGCAAAAUAAAAAUUAAAAAUAAAUUUAUUAAAAAUCAUCAACAAAGUAAAGUAACAGCCCUCUUCACCAACUCAUCUGUCUCUACUAAGCUGCUCAUUCCAUGCAGCAUGUUCCUUCUGGGUCUGUCAGUCUGUCAUAACACCAUUUGAAGUUUAAAUAAAGUGAUCUCCUGUGUUGCCUGAAUGUUGAUCCUCUCUGUUUGGAAGAAUGCUGACAAGAACCAGAGUCCUCUCCCUUUGAUCAACACGAUGGAAUCAAGUGGCACAAGGGAUCUCGGGGUGCUGCCCACCUGGGCUUGUACCAUUUCAAAAUGGGGGGGGCGGGGGGCGGUAUAUGCAUAAUGGCUCCCUACCAUCAGAAGCUACAUGCACAUAGGUAAGUAGCACAGCCAGGAGAAGAUAAGACUAGAAACUGAGACACUAGUUUUCCAUGGAGAUUUAUGGAAAGCAUUCAGCACCAUAGUUUCCCAUCUUGUAUUUGGAAGUGGUACAAUUCAAG
This is a non-coding RNA of Podarcis lilfordi (Lilford's wall lizard), 11169 nucleotides long. The record is from the annotation of a GenBank genome assembly. Lineage: Eukaryota; Metazoa; Chordata; Lepidosauria; Squamata; Lacertidae.